UACGUAGGGGGCAAGCGUUGUCCGGAUUUAUUGGGCGUAAAGAGCGUGUAGGCGGCCAGAUAGGUCCGUUGUGAAAACUCGAGGCUCAACCUCGAGACGCCGAUGGAAACCAUUUGGCUAGAGUCCGGAAGAGGAGAGUGGAAUUCCUGGUGUAGCGGUGAAAUGCGCAGAUAUCAGGAGGAAUACCGGUGGCGAAGGCGGCAUCCUGGACCGACAUUGACGCUGAUGAGCGAAAGCUAGGGGAGCAAACGGG
RNAcentral lists this ribosomal RNA (253 nucleotides) under uncultured bacterium. Its description in RNAcentral is "partial 16S ribosomal RNA". It matches the Rfam family "Bacterial small subunit ribosomal RNA", at positions 524 to 776 of the family's 1533-position model. The record is from RNAcentral.